AGCAGCCGCGGUAAUUCCAGCUCCAAUAGCGUAUAUUAAAGCUGUUGCAGUUAAAAAGCUCGUAGUUGAAUUUCGGGAUUGGCGCAUCGGUCGUGCCUCACGGGGUAUGAACUGGUGCAGUCAAUUUCUCACCUUCUGGAGAACCGCGAUGUCCUUAAUUGGGUGCCGCGGGGAACCAGGACCUUUACUUUGAAAAAUUAGAGUGUUUAAAGCAGGCAUUUUUGCUUGAAUACAUUAGCAUGGAAUAAUAAAAUAGGACGGCAUGGUUCUAUUUUGUUGGUUUCUAGGACCACCGUAAUGAUUAAUAGGGAUAGUUGGGGGCAUUAGUAUUCAAUUGUCAGAGGUGAAAUUCUUGGAUUUAUUGAAGACUAACUACUGCGAAAGCAUUUGCCAAGGAUGUUUUCAUUAAUCAAGAACGAAAGUUAGGGGAUCGAAGACGAUCAGAUACCGUCGUAGUCUUAACCAUAAACUAUGCCGACUAGGAAUCAGACGAUGUUAAUUUUUAAUGUACUCGUUUGGC
This 520-nucleotide ribosomal RNA is filed under the name uncultured Entrophospora. Its description in RNAcentral is "SSU rRNA". It matches the Rfam family "Eukaryotic small subunit ribosomal RNA", at positions 569 to 1084 of the family's 1831-position model. The record is from RNAcentral. Lineage: Eukaryota; Fungi; Glomeromycota; Glomeromycetes; Entrophosporales; Entrophosporaceae.